GCUUACGGCCACACCGCCUUGUUCACGCCCGAUUUCGGAAGCUAAGAUAGGUUGGGCCUGGUUAGUACUUGGAUGGGAGACCGCCUGGGAAUACCAGGUGCUGUAAGCU
Scophthalmus maximus (turbot) is the source of this 109-nucleotide ribosomal RNA. The record is from Ensembl. NCBI's taxonomy places the organism in Eukaryota, Metazoa, Chordata, Actinopteri, Pleuronectiformes, Scophthalmidae.